GGAGGUUAUAGGAGGAUGAAAAAGCACCUACUUGGAAGAGGGCAGGAGUCAGCAAACUAUGGCCUGUAGGCCAAAUCCAGGGUACUACCUGUUUCUGUGUAGCCUGAGAGGAAAAUCUGUGAUGAAAAAAAGAAACAAACCAAGGAGACCACCAUGGACAUAUUUCUGAAAAGAGUGACACCUCCUCAAGAAAAGCCUCAGGCAGGUCCUUCAGGAGGUAUUCCAGAAGAAGGCAUUGUUAUCACAGGAGAUGACAGCUCCAUGCACGUUAUUGCCCCCGAAGACCUUCCAGUGGGACAAGAUCAGAAGAUGGAGGACUGCCAUGUUGACAAUCCUGACUCUAUGUAGGCCUAGGCUAGGGUGUGUGUUUGUGUCCCAGUUUUUAACAAAAAAAUUUAAAAGUAAAAAGAAAAAAUAAAACAUUUUAAAAGUAGAAAAAAGCUUAUAGAAAUAAAGAUAUUUCUUAUUUUUGUAAAGCUAUACAAUGUGUUUGUGUUUGAAGCUAAGUGUGAUUACAAAAGAGUCAAAAAGUUUAAAAAAAUUAAAAAGUUUACAAAGUAAAAAAAUCACAGUAAGCUAAGGUUAAUUUAUUAUUGAAGAAAGAAAAAUAUUUUUCUGUAAUUUAGUGUAGUCUAAACGUACAGUGUUUAUAGAGUCUACAGUGGUGUACAGUAAUGUCCUGGGCCUUCACAUUCACUCACCAACACUCACUGACUCACCCAGAAUAACUUCCAGUCCUGCAAGCUCCAUUCAUGGUAAGUGCCCUAUAUAUUUGUACCAUUUUUAUCCGUAUUUUUAUUGUACAUUUUCUAUGUUUAGAUAAACAAAUACUUACCACUGUGUUACAACUGCCUACAGAAUCUAGGAUAGAUUUGUAGCCUAGGAGCAAUAGGCUCUAUCACAUAGCCUCGGGGAGUAGUAGGCUAUACCACCUGGGUUUAUAUGAGUACACUCUAGGAUGUUUGCACAACGACAAAAUCACCUAAUGAUGCCUUUCUCAGACCAUAUCCGUGUUGUUAAGCAACACGUGACUGUAUUAGAUCAGAAAUGGCUAUAGACCCUCCCUCAAAGAAGUAGACACAAGUUUAAGUGGUAUAGAAUAGUCAACAUGAAAUUUCACCCACAGAAUUAGUGGAAUUGGUGAAUAGAUACUAUAAAUUCUCAAUUAGUCACAGUGUAAGGGUAAAGCAAAUCCACAGAAAAUUUUAAUUUUCAGCCAGUAUUUCAGACCUCUUUUUCCACUAAUUCUCUUGCAAGAACUUGUAGGAAGAUGCAAACAUGCAUGGAUAGGUAGAUGAGAGGAGUAAGUUUUGCUUUAUCUUCUUUCACAUACCAACUUCUUUCAAAAGUUCUUUUGAAAAGCAUAACAGGGGCUGGCCCCAUGGCCAAGCGGUUAAGUUCACACGCUCCAGUUAGGUGCCCUGGGGUUUCGCCGGUUCCCAUCCUGGGUGCAGACAUGGCACUGCUCGUCAGGCCAUCCUGAGGUGGUGUCCCCACAUAGCACAACCAGAGGCUCUCACAACUAGAAUAUACAACUCUGUACCAGGGGGCUUUGGGGAGAAGAAGAAACAACAAAAGAAGAUUGGCAACAGAUGUUUGCUCAGGUACCAAUCUUUAAAAAACCAAAAGAGAGGUGUGAACUGGUGUGAGAGAGGCAAAGACUGCACAAUUCACAAAUAGAAUCAUUAGCUCCUGAACCACCAAGUUUUUUGUCUGUUUGUUUUUUGCAGGGGAAGAUUCACCCUAAGCCAACAUCUGUUGCCAAUCUCCCUCCUUUGUUUUUUUCUUUCUUUUUCCCCCCUAAAGCCCCAGUACGUAGUUCUAGGUAGUUGUAAGUUCUUCUGGUUCUUCUAUGUGAGCCGUUGCCACAGCAUGGCUACUGACAGACGAGUGGCAUGGUUCUGCAUCUGGGAACUGAACCUGGGCCAUCAAAGCAGAGUGUGCCAAACUUUAACUGCUAGGCCAUCAGGGCUGACUGUGAACCACCAAAUUUUGAGGGUCAAUGAAAGAAGUAUGAAAUAAGUAAACUUAUAUCUAGAAUUGAAGAACUAGUAAAUAACCUGUGUGGGCCGGCUUGACUAUGCAGGUAUCACUGCAUUCUCGUUCACUCAAUUAAGAUUUGUAUUUAAAACAUAAAAUAGGUAUUUUGUAUGGUGAGGUAAAGCUGAGGAAAGAGGGAGAGAGAAAGGAGGUACAUGACUGGCAGUUUCUUAAAAUGACAGACUAGAUUAAGAGCUGGGCGGACUCAACUCAGUAUUUCUAACUGAGAAAUGAAUCUGUAAUGACUUGUGAUGACCUUUUCUCUGCCAUCUUCUAGAAGCUUCAUCUCUAAAUAUCUCUUUCUCUUUCUCUUCUUCAGGAUCCUUUUCCUCAAAAUAUCUAGCCACUGCAGGAGCAUAAACCACUGUAAACAUACACAAGCUAUUUCAUUCUACUUUGAGGGACUCUCACGUUGCAAACUAUAUAUAGCAUGGGAGUUGUGGAAGAAGUCUGCCACAAGCCCACAAUUGUGGGUCUAUUCUAUUGAUGUUGGAUAAAUUUCUUAGGCAGUCUACUCCAUGCCAACCCUUGAGCUGAAUUAGCCACUUCAGCACGUUCAGAGUGGUGUUCUGAAGAGGACAGCACACCAGCUCUGCAGCUAGACAGCCACACAUUUAAAUUCCAGUUUCAGUCAGUGGACAGGGAGCCAAGGGGUCCACGUUCCAGGCAGGUUGAGGAUGUUCAGCGCUUCUUGCAUCCUUGGAGGCCAUGUAUGCACAGAGCAUAACCACAAGCUGGAGGAGGGCCGCCC
Long non-coding RNA from Equus caballus (horse), 2791 nucleotides. NCBI's taxonomy places the organism in Eukaryota, Metazoa, Chordata, Mammalia, Perissodactyla, Equidae. The record is from Ensembl.